This 67-nucleotide transfer RNA is filed under the name Marmota monax (woodchuck). RNAcentral's name for it is "tRNA.Undet". Lineage: Eukaryota; Metazoa; Chordata; Mammalia; Rodentia; Sciuridae. The record is from RNAcentral.
GGGGCUGUAGCUCAGUGGCAGAGCACUUGCCUAGUCAGAGGCACUGGGUUCGAUCCUCAGCACCACA